This 253-nucleotide ribosomal RNA is filed under the name uncultured bacterium. RNAcentral describes it as "partial 16S ribosomal RNA". It matches the Rfam family "Bacterial small subunit ribosomal RNA", at positions 524 to 776 of the family's 1533-position model. The record is from RNAcentral.
UACGUAGGGGGCUAGCGUUGUCCGGAAUCAUUGGGCGUAAAGCGCGUGUAGGCGGUCCGGUAAGUCCGCUGUGAAAGUCGAGGGCUCAACCCUCGAAUGCCGGUGGAUACUGUCGGGCUUGAGUACGGGAGAGGCGAGUGGAAUUCCUGGUGUAGCGGUGAAAUGCGCAGAUAUCAGGAGGAACACCGAUUACGAAGGCAGCUCGCUGGAACGUUACUGACGCUGAGACGCGAAAGCGUGGGGAGCAAACAGG